This 73-nucleotide transfer RNA is filed under the name Acidobacteriota bacterium. RNAcentral's name for it is "tRNA-Val". It matches the Rfam family "tRNA". From Rfam's summary of the family: Transfer RNA (tRNA) molecules are approximately 80 nucleotides in length. Lineage: Bacteria; Pseudomonadati; Acidobacteriota. The record is from RNAcentral. RNAcentral also lists the same sequence under 1 other name.
GGGCGGUUAGCUCAGCUGGUAGAGCAUCGGUUUUACACGCCGGUGGUCAGAGGUUCAAGUCCUCUACCGCCCA